GUGGGGAAUAUUGGACAAUGGGGGGAACCCUGAUCCAGCCAUGCCGCGUGUGUGAAGAAGGCCUUUUGGUUGUAAAGCACUUUAAGCGAGGAGGAGGCUACCGAGAUUAAUACUCUUGGAUAGUGGACGUUACUCGCAGAAUAAGCACCGGCUAACUCUGUGCCAGCAGCCGCGGUAAUACAGAGGGUGCAAGCGUUAAUCGGAUUUACUGGGCGUAAAGCGCGCGUAGGUGGCCAAUUAAGUCAAAUGUGAAAUCCCCGAGCUUAACUUGGGAAUUGCAUUCGAUACUGGUUGGCUAGAGUAUGGGAGAGGAUGGUGGAAUUCCAGGUGUAGCGGUGAAAUGCGUAGAGAUCUGGAGGAAUACCGAUGGCGAAGGCAGCCAUCUGGCCUAAUACUGACACUGAGGUGCGAAAGCAUGGGGAGCAAACAGGAUUAGAAACCCUUGUAGUCC
This 451-nucleotide ribosomal RNA is filed under the name uncultured bacterium. RNAcentral describes it as "partial 16S ribosomal RNA". It matches the Rfam family "Bacterial small subunit ribosomal RNA", at positions 354 to 796 of the family's 1533-position model. The record is from RNAcentral.